UAUUAUUUUUAAACCCUAGGUGUCAUUAGGUUGAAAAAUGCUAAUGAGUAAACGGGAAUCUGGUGCGUCUUAACUGACAACUCCAGAGCUGCCCCCGCAACGGUAAGUGAAUAGUUUAUUCAUGAGUCCGGAUACCGGCCUAAGGUAAUACCUGCAU
This 157-nucleotide non-coding RNA is filed under the name Methylophaga sp. Lineage: Bacteria; Pseudomonadati; Pseudomonadota; Gammaproteobacteria; Thiotrichales; Piscirickettsiaceae. The record is from RNAcentral.